UUAAUUGAAACCAAAAAGAGGUAUAUUAUUGUUAAUAAUAACAUUGAAUUUAUAUUCCAAUUAAA
Molecule: transfer RNA, 65 nt
Filed under: Acropteris iphiata
Lineage: Eukaryota; Metazoa; Arthropoda; Insecta; Lepidoptera; Uraniidae
Description: tRNA-Asn
Source: RNAcentral